AUGCAUUUAAUGACCAAACGAUGACGAAGAACAUCGGUAUUGAGCUGCCAAAAUAGUGCAGCGAAUAGGACAGCAGCGAUGCGCAUUCAGGUGCAGUUUCGGGAUCAAAACAUUUGAUGCGUGUGGAACGUGUUCAUUGGCGGUCAUAUGGUGUAACUUUCAGGCUGAGAGUGCAAGGGCGGCUCUGAACUACAAACGGUUCAACGGUUAAAGCAUAAGUAUUGGGAUUGUUUCCAUUAAGGGCAAGUCCUGCAAAGACACAUGUCUGUCCACGUUUAGGUCGCCGUCUACCAUGAACCGACACCCUACAAUAGGUCCUAAAGGUGAACUCCAAACCUCUCUUGAAGGUUGGCAGCCAUUGAUGAUGUGAAGUGGUAUGCAGUGCAACACCCAUUUGGUCAAGGGGAAGACGUAUAUUCUUUGAAUGUUUCGAUGGUAUUGGUUUAGCAAUGAGUAGAAGUUGACCUAGGGGAAGACUGGUAGCUGGUCGAAUGAACCUAGCUAUUCUAUAUAAAGUUUCGUAGAGAUGAGCCAAGUAUAAUCGAAUAUGAAGUAUAUGAAAGGUUUGCCUGAAGUCUCAAUCGUAUUCCAGAGCAUAUAUCGAAUUUAAGCGGCCAAAUAAUGUCAUUCACUUUGCAUAGUUUUUUGACGGGCACGUUUUUGUCAAUGAGAAGGAUCCGAAAUAUCUUGAAUUCCUUCAGUUUGUUUCAAAGCCUGUUGAGAAUCUUCCAAGUGCAGAGAUACAAUUAGAAAGAAAGGAAGCCGAGCGAGCUGGCCAGAAUUAAGUUCUUUGUUGUUUUAACUGUUUGCUCAUUGAAUUUAAACUUGAUAUCAUCAAAUUACAGGUGCUGCUAAGGAGGCUCCUAUAGUCACACCUUUGAUGGAUUUUGUUUGGCUGAAAAAAGCUGCCAAGGGUAGGCCCCGAGUAGGAACUAUGCCUCGGAGCAUGUAGCUCAUUUUGUAUUAAGUUAUAGGGAGAAACAGUGGUUUCUCUGGGGUAGCCUUAGUCUAGCAAGGCGUUACAAGACACCAUCAUCACGGCAGAUGGCAUGGUUGGAUUGGCCGCGUAGCCGGGAACAAGGAUCUUUACUUGGGGACAUUCACGAAACGGACGCAGUGGUGAUCGUUCCCCCAAAGCAAAAUGCGUCAGAAUCGGAGGUGGAUGAUGGUUAUAUUGCGGUUGGUAAUGAUCAGCCUGGCAGACGUCGCUACUGCCGUUGUUGAGGACUUCCUAUAGGCGUGUACAGAAGUUCGUUCUGGUUUAUACGUGCUAAAAUUGCCAAUAUUGGUGGUCCAUGCUACAUGUACGGUGGUUUUCAGGAGCGCAAAGGGAAAAAAGACAUUCAAUCGUUCGUUCAAACAAUUGUAGGCAAAUUCGUUUCUUAUCUAUAUGAUCCACGUUUCUGUCUACAUCAUUCGAACACAAUUAAUUGAUAACGAGACUAGAAAGGUUUGAGACCAAUGUUGGAGUUGACCAAUGAUGAUAUACAACCCGUUUUGAUAAUAUGUACAAUUGUAAAUAUUUAUUAGAAUAAUUAAUAUAUACUUU
RNAcentral lists this long non-coding RNA (1549 nucleotides) under Helianthus annuus (common sunflower). Lineage: Eukaryota; Viridiplantae; Streptophyta; Magnoliopsida; Asterales; Asteraceae. The record is from RNAcentral.